Molecule: transfer RNA, 66 nt
Filed under: Glaucopsyche lygdamus xerces
Lineage: Eukaryota; Metazoa; Arthropoda; Insecta; Lepidoptera; Lycaenidae
Description: tRNA-Ile
Source: RNAcentral
AAUAAAGUGCCUGAAAAAAGGAUUAUUCUGAUAGGAUAAAUAAUGUAAUUAAUAUUACCUUUAUUA